GGAGAAGCGGCAACGAUUGGCGGUGUUGCGGCAGACUGUAAAUCUGUUCCCAAGUGGUAAACAAUAGAGGUUCGAUUCCUCUCUUCCCCA
Molecule: transfer RNA, 90 nt
Filed under: Holdemanella biformis
Lineage: Bacteria; Bacillati; Bacillota; Erysipelotrichia; Erysipelotrichales; Erysipelotrichaceae
Also listed under: 2 other names
Description: tRNA-Tyr
Rfam family: tRNA
About the family: Transfer RNA (tRNA) molecules are approximately 80 nucleotides in length.
Source: RNAcentral